Molecule: ribosomal RNA, 207 nt
Filed under: uncultured bacterium
Lineage: Bacteria
Description: partial 16S ribosomal RNA
Rfam family: Bacterial small subunit ribosomal RNA
Source: RNAcentral
UGUGUAGGCGGCGUGAAAAGUCAGAUGUGAAAUCCGGGGGCUCAACCCCCGAAAUGCAUCCGAUACUGUCAUGCUGGAGGUCUGUAGAGGGGUCUGGAAUUCUCGGUGUAGCAGUGAAAUGCGUAGAUAUCGAGAGGAACACCAGUUGCGAAAGCGAGACCCUGGGCAGAAACUGACGCUGAAACACGAAGGCCAGGGUAGCGAACG